GGCGGUUAGAAAAGUCUGAAGUGAAAGGCAGUGUCUCAACCAGUGUAGGCUUUGGAACCUGUUUAACUUGAGUGCAGAAGGGGAGAGUGGAAUUCCAUGUGUAGCGUUGAAAUGCGUAGAUAAAUGGAGGAUCACCGGUGGCGAAAGCGGCUCUCUGGUCCGUAACUAACGCUGAGGCUGGAAAGCGUGGGGAGCGAACAGGAUUAGAUACCCUGGUAGUCCACCCCGUAAACGAUGAGUGCUAGGUGUUAGGUCCUUUCCGGGACUUAGUGCCGCAGCUAACGCAUUAAGCACUCCGCCUGGGGAGUACGACCGCACGGUUGAAACUCAAAGGAAUUGACGGGGGCCCGAACAAGCGGUGGAGCAUGUGGUUUAAUUCGAAGCAACGCGAAGAACCUUACCAGGUCUUGACAUCCCGAUGCUAUUUCUAGAGAUAGGAAGUUUCUUCGGAACAUCGGUGACAGGUGGUGCAUGGUUGUCGUCAGCUCGUGUCGUGAGAUGUUGGGUUAAGUCCCGCAACGAGCGCAACCCUUAAUGUUAGUUGCCAUCAUUGAGUUGGGCACUCUAGCGAGACUGCCGGUAAUAAACCGGAGGAAGGUGGGGAUGACGUCAAAUCAUCAUGCCCCUUAUGACCUGGGCUACACACGUGCUACAAUGGCUGGUACAACGAGUCGCAAGCCGGUGACGGCAAGCUAAUCUCUGAAAGCCAGUCUCAGUUCGGAUUGUAGGCUGCAACUCGCCUACAUGAAGUCGGAAUCGCUAGUAAUCGCGGAUCAGCACGCCGCGGUGAAUACGUUCCCGGGCCUUGUACACACCGCCCGUCAC
Molecule: ribosomal RNA, 825 nt
Filed under: Streptococcus anginosus
Lineage: Bacteria; Bacillati; Bacillota; Bacilli; Lactobacillales; Streptococcaceae
Description: bacterial SSU rRNA
Rfam family: Bacterial small subunit ribosomal RNA
Source: RNAcentral